Molecule: ribosomal RNA, 492 nt
Filed under: uncultured bacterium
Lineage: Bacteria
Description: bacterial SSU rRNA
Rfam family: Bacterial small subunit ribosomal RNA
Source: RNAcentral
UCAGGAUGAACGCUGGCGGCGUGCUUAACACAUGCAAGUCGAACGGAGUAUCAGGAAUGAAGUUUCGGAUGGAUUUUUGAUACUUAGUGGCGGACGGGUGAGUAACGCGUGGGUAACCUGCCUCACACAGGGGGAUAACAGUUGGAAACGACUGUUAAUACCGCAUAAGACCACAGUACCGCAUGGUACAGGGGUAAAAACUCCGGUGGUGUGAGAUGGACCCGCGUCUGAUUAGUUAGUUGGCGGGGUAACGGCCCACCAAGACGACGAUCAGUAGCCGAUCUGAGAGGAUGACCGGCCACAUUGGGACUGAGACACGGCCCAAACUCCUACGGGAGGCAGCAGUGGGGAAUAUUGCACAAUGGGGGAAACCCUGAUUGCAGCGACGCCGCGUGAGUGAAGAAGUAUUUCGGUAUGUAAAGCUCUAUCAGCAGGGAAGAAAAUGACGGUACCUGAGUAAGAAGCCCCGGCUAACUACGUGCCAGCAGCCGC